This 503-nucleotide ribosomal RNA is filed under the name uncultured bacterium. Its description in RNAcentral is "partial 16S ribosomal RNA". It matches the Rfam family "Bacterial small subunit ribosomal RNA", at positions 30 to 523 of the family's 1533-position model. The record is from RNAcentral.
AUUGAACGCUGGCGGCAGGCUUAACACAUGCAAGUCGAGCGGGGUGAUGGUGCUUGCACUAUCACUUAGCGGCGGACGGGUGAGUAAUGCUUAGGAAUCUGCCUAUUAGUGGGGGACAACAUCUCGAAAGGGAUGCUAAUACCGCAUACGUCCUACGGGAGAAAGCAGGGGAUCACUUGUGACCUUGCGCUAAUAGAUGAGCCUAAGUCGGAUUAGCUAGUUGGUGGGGUAAAGGCCUACCAAGGCGACGAUCUGUAGCGGGUCUGAGAGGAUGCUCCGCCACACUGGGACGGGGACACGGCCCAGACUCCUACGGGAGGCAGCAGUGGGGAAUAUUGGACAAUGGGGGGAACCCUGAUCCAGCCAUGCCGCGUGUGUGAAGAAGGCCUUAUGGUUGUAAAGCACUUUAAGCGAGGAGGAGGCUCUUUUGGUUAAUACCCAAGAUGAGUGGACGUUACUCGCAGAAUAAGCACCGGCUAACUCUGUGCCAGCCGCCGCCGUAA